GUAUCCUGGCUCAGGAUGAACGCUAGCUACAGGCUUAACACAUGCAAGUCGAGGGGGCGAGCAUGGUCUUAGCUUGCUAAGGCCGAUGGCGACCGGCGCACGGGUGAGUAACACGUAUCCAACCUGCCGUCUACUCUUGGACAGCCUUCUGAAAGGAAGAUUAAUACAAGAUGGCAUCAUGAGUUCACAUGUUCACAUGAUUAAAGGUAUUCCGGGUAGACGAUGGGG
RNAcentral lists this ribosomal RNA (228 nucleotides) under uncultured bacterium. RNAcentral describes it as "partial 16S ribosomal RNA". It matches the Rfam family "Bacterial small subunit ribosomal RNA", at positions 14 to 230 of the family's 1533-position model. The record is from RNAcentral.